GACGAACGCUGGCGGCGUGCUUAACACAUGCAAGUCGAACGACGCGCUCCCGCUUGCGGGGGUGAUUAGUGGCGAACGGGUGAGUAAUACGUGAGUAACCUGCCCUUGACUCUGAGAUAAGCCUGGGAAACCGGGGCUAAUACUGGAUACUACUUACUGCCGCAUGGUGGGGGGUGGAUAGGGUUUUACUGGUUUUGGAUGGGCUCACGGCCGAUCAGCUUGUUGGUGGAGUAAUGGCUGACCAAGGCGACGCCGGGUAGCCGGACCGGGAGGGUGACCGGGCACACUGAGACUGGGACUGGGCCCAGGCUCCAACGGGUAGGAGCAGCAGGGAAGAUUGAACAAGGGGCGGGAGCCCGAUGCUGAGACGCCGAGGGAGGGAGAACGGUCUUCGCGUUGUAAUCCUCAUGCAGCAUGGAAGAAGCCAAAAGUGACGGUACCUGCAGAAGAAGCGCCGGCUAACUACGUG
Molecule: ribosomal RNA, 469 nt
Filed under: uncultured bacterium
Lineage: Bacteria
Description: partial 16S ribosomal RNA
Rfam family: Bacterial small subunit ribosomal RNA
Source: RNAcentral